This 155-nucleotide ribosomal RNA is filed under the name Somion unicolor. RNAcentral describes it as "Spongipellis unicolor 5.8S ribosomal RNA". It matches the Rfam family "5.8S ribosomal RNA". Rfam says of the family: 5.8S ribosomal RNA (5.8S rRNA) is a component of the large subunit of the eukaryotic ribosome. It is transcribed by RNA polymerase I as part of the 45S precursor that also contains 18S and 28S rRNA. Functionally, it is thought that 5.8S rRNA may be involved in ribosome translocation. The record is from RNAcentral. Lineage: Eukaryota; Fungi; Basidiomycota; Agaricomycetes; Polyporales; Cerrenaceae.
CAACUUUCAGCAACGGAUCUCUUGGCUCUCGCAUCGAUGAAGAACGCAGCGAAAUGCGAUAAGUAAUGUGAAUUGCAGAAUUCAGUGAAUCAUCGAAUCUUUGAACGCACCUUGCGCCCUUUGGUAUUCCGAAGGGCAUGCCUGUUUGAGUGUCA